RNAcentral lists this ribosomal RNA (302 nucleotides) under uncultured Glomus. Its description in RNAcentral is "SSU rRNA". It matches the Rfam family "Eukaryotic small subunit ribosomal RNA", at positions 553 to 858 of the family's 1831-position model. The record is from RNAcentral. Lineage: Eukaryota; Fungi; Glomeromycota; Glomeromycetes; Glomerales; Glomeraceae.
GGGCAAGUCUGGUGCCAGCAGCCGCGGUAAUUCCAGCUCCAAUAGCGUAUAUUAAAGUUGUUGCAGUUAAAAAGCUCGUAGUUGAACUUCGGGAUCAAUGGGUUGGUCAUGCCCUCGGUAUGUACUGACCUCAUUGGUUCUCACCUUCUAAGGAACCAUGAUGUCAUUCAUUUGAUGUUGUGGGGAAUUAGGACUGUUACCUUGAAAAAAUUAGAGUGUUUAAAGCAGGCUAACCGCUUGAAUACAUUAGCAUGGAAUAAUGAAAUAGGACAUCGCAUUCUAUUUUGUUGGUUUCUAGGAUC